GGGGGUGUGCCCGAGAAGGGACUACCUUGAUAGAGUAGACACGGAGCCAACAACACUCCCACCCCCC
This 67-nucleotide transfer RNA is filed under the name Gonyosoma frenatum. Its description in RNAcentral is "tRNA-Ile". Lineage: Eukaryota; Metazoa; Chordata; Lepidosauria; Squamata; Colubridae. The record is from RNAcentral.